Monodelphis domestica (gray short-tailed opossum) is the source of this 5845-nucleotide non-coding RNA. The record is from RefSeq and is a predicted model, not a curated record. NCBI's taxonomy places the organism in Eukaryota, Metazoa, Chordata, Mammalia, Didelphimorphia, Didelphidae.
UGGACCCCAGAAUCUCCCCCACUUCCCGCGAUGGUCCUUCCGGACCCGAGCCCCACCCCCCUGUCUCCUCCCGGCCUGAGCAGCCAAUCGCGACUCUGCGCGCGACCUGCUCUGCCCAGUCAGGGGAAGCCGUCUCGCGCUAGGGAGGCGGGUCUGUUCUCGCCGGCUCUCGCCCUUUCUUGCGCUCUCUACGUCCUCGUGGAGGCACGACGGACCAAUGGGAGAGUCGCUGCGCCGAGGCGGACAGCGACGCUGACCAAUGGAGACACAGGAGGGUGGGUCAGCCGGUCAAGUUUGACUUUGAACAGAAGGAAUGACAGGCGAGGCGGGGCUUCGGGGUCAGUGGGACCUGUGGAUGGGGUGCGGGGACGUAGCGGGGCUCAGGCUCUUCGCCCCCGGAUAUCCCUAGCCAUCCUGUGUGUUAUUUUCACCAUUCUUACGUGCUGCCUUUUAAACACUUUGAGCUCCAAGGGGAGUGGGCUUGGGUUAAAAUCCCACCUCUGCUCCUUAGUGUUGUUCAAUGACCCUGGGGAAGUCACUGAGGGUCUCUGAUCCCCGAUCUCAUCAUUUCUAAAACGAGCCCACGCUGUCCUGUAGCCAUAAGCCAGUGAGAGAAAGCAUAUUCUUUAUACUUUAUUUAUUUAAAGUACUUUAUAGCCCCUCAUCGAGGGACAGAGCCAUGUCAGCCAGUGUUGCUAUCCUAGCAGACAGCCAGCAUGUUUAUGGAGCUUUCAAGUUUGCAGAGAAUUUUAUGAUUUAGGUCCCAGUAAAGGGAGAGAAUAUUAGUUAUGAUCCCCACUUUGUAUAUGAGGAAACUGAGGCAGAAAUGGUUCACUCAGGGUCACACAGCUGGACCUCCAGAAGAACAACUUCAGAUUCUCUCAGGAGUCUAAGUCCCUGUGGAGCCAGGGAGAAGGUCCAGUAGAAUUCCUCACCACCAAGACAAAAAAAUAGUUUCUGCUGAGUGUCAGAUGGCCAGGCAGGGCUUUAUGGCCUCCAGCAUUCCACAUUCUGAGGAUUCUUUGGGUUCUGACCCUCCUAGCUAGAGACCUGGUUCAUCUGUGGGUCAGUAAGCUAGUCAGUUGUUGUAGAGCCACACAAAGCCUGUGAGCAUGUGAAAGCCUCAUAGUCUCCCCCAGAGGUUAGCCUCCCCACCUGGCUUUGGGGCAUCCUCACACUGGCAGAGAAUGCUGGCUGGGCACUGAUCCCGAUGUUUAAUGGAACCCAGAUCCCUGGCCCCACUGAAGACCCUUCAGAGGGACAUUAAACCAUGAAUGACUUCAGCCACCCCGUUGUUCUUUUUCUGCUGAGUGGCCUCUACUUCGUAGGAGACACUUUGGGGAACAUUCUUCUCUGGCCCUACAUUCGUUGUCCUCCCAUCCUCCACAGGCUUUCACAGACCAUCUAGCCGUUUCAGUUCUGGAAUUUUCCUGGGAAGCUGUCAAGGCCAUGAACUGAACUCUUCAAGGAGCAGCCCUGUGAGCUCUUAUUGGCUCUGAAUUACUUGGGGAAUCUUCUCCAUGUUAGCUGUUUGUGUCCUGACCCUUCCAGUCCAAAGAUCAAUCUCUCUGGCAGGACAAACAGAAGCAGAAUGAAGGCUGAUCAGCUCUUUUGUUUAGGCUCCUCAGCAGGCUCUCUGGCUUCGAGCAAUGCUCUUUGCCUUUUUUCAUCCUCCUUUUUCCCCCAAUAUGGAUUUCUAAAACUCUUUUUGUUGUCCUUAGCAUUCCUCCUAAGCUUCACAUUCUUCUGAGGGUUUGUGUUCCUGAGACUAUCUUUAUAGGCUUCUGCCAUGGUUGGCCUCCAUCUUCUGGCCCUAUCUUUUUAGUGUGUUCACAUACACAUCCCUUUGGCUGCCCCCUUCUUGUUUCCCUUGGCCUCACAGCCUCACAGGCCCCCCCGGAGCUGAAAGAGGCCUCAAGGCCCCCCUGAUUCCUCGGAUAUUUGAACAAGUACCUUCCCUUUUCACAAUGUGGUAGCCCCAGCUGAUAGGUCAGAUGGAAGAAGAAGCUUCUUAACGUGUACCCACUGUGCCUAAUUCUGCCCCCUGGAGAUGAGGGGGAGUCUCUUUCUUUGUGACAUAUUCCAUCUUGUUCCUGCAGAUAGCUUCUCUUUAAGUGAAACGUUCCCACUUCCUUCAGCUAGACUGCAUAUGGGAUGAUGUCAGGGCUGCUAUCUUCUUUGGGUCACCCUUUAGCUUCUCAGGGUCUUUCUCAAAGGGCUGUCUCAAGGAUGGAGACAGGUCUGACAGGGCCUGACCCUUCCUAGACCUUGGGCCCUCUUAAUGCCUGCUGAGAUUGUAUAUCAGCAGAAGCAUCGAGGUGGCUCAGUGGAUAGGGCACCAGGCCUAGAGGUGGGAGGUCCUGAGUUCAAAUGAGGCCUCAGACACUUCCUAGCUGUGUGACCCUGGGCCAGUCCCUUAACCCCCAUUGCCUAGCCCUCACCACUUUUCUGAACCAACAGAACCAACACAAAGUAUAGAUUCUAGGAGAGAAGGUAAAGGGGGUAGGGUGGGGAUAAAAAAGAAAGCAUGUAUAUUGCCAUACCAUUAUUCACCUGCUUUACUCUGUCUCCAAAAUGUUAUUUGGGCAGACCUCGCCUAUAGGAAGGGACUUUGGAGCUGGUAGGGUGAACCUUUGAAACGUGUUUUCAUGUGUAAAAAUGGAGAUUUGAACUCUGGACUUCAAUUCCCAGGAGUCCUUGGUAGCUCCCAGAGUUCCCCAUAAUCUCAGGUGAGGUCAUCACCUGGGCUGCGAGGAGAGAGGGGUUUUUUAAAUGCACUCCGCCUUCUUCUUGCUCUCUUCCUACUUCCGCUUCCAAGCAGAUGUGUCUCUCAUGAUGUAAGUGAAAUUGAAUGGGCCUUUCGGCUCUCCUAGGCUCGUGCUUUCUUACUUGUAUUUUCUUAAAUUCUUAAUCUUUAAAUAACCUCAUAAAAUAUGCUACAGUUUGGCAUAACCACUUUGGGAAAACGAAAUACCCUCAAUCUUCUGAUCUACUGUAACUAAGUUCAGCCUUUAAUAGCUAGUGCCUAGUUUUGUUUGUUGUUUCUCCAAGAUGCUUUUUUAGAAAACCAUCUUGAUCAGCUCUGGCCUGGAGCCAUCUGCUUCGGACUUUCUUGAUUCAAUAUAGUUCACCUGCCCACCCUUUCUAACCCUCCCCCCCCCUGCAAACUCUAGCCUUGGAGCAGACCGCUCAUCGCCCCAGGCCCAGGACUCAUUUCUAUCAGUUGGUAAAAAACUGGGGUAAUUUUCCCUUAGGCUAUGAUUAGCCUCCACCUGGACUGGGGGCAGGGGAUUGAAGGAGGGGAGAAAGAAAGGGAAAGAAGGAAGAGACUUUUCCAAACAGGAACUUACAAGCAUGACUACUUUAAAAGGAUAUCUUUUAACUAUAUUGAUGAUUUCAUUUACUUCACAUGAGAUUCAGGAAAAAAAUUCAGCUCUCUGCAACUCUUUAGCUAACUUUGGGGAGGCAGCUGGGUAUGUCAAUGAAUUGAGAGCCAGGCCUAGAGAAGGGAGGUCCUCAGUUGGAAUCUGGCCUCAGAUACUUCCCAGCUGUGUGGCCCUGGAUGAGUCCCUUAAACCCCAUUGCUUAACUAUUACCAAUCUGCCUUCUGACAGUAGGCAUCUAAAUGGAAAAAAAAAACAAAACAAAACAACCCAAGAAACUUUAAAGAGACUGGAGGUUAUGUUUUUAAGGCAUUUCAGACUCCAAUGUUUUAUAAAAAUCUCCAUAUUCUAUUGCAUUUACUGAUUGCUUUGUUUAAGAUUUAACUUUGUGAUUUUAAGAUCAUAUAUUACUGCAUUCAAUACUAUUCUGUUACACUGAAUCAUUUUAAUGUACUGAGUUUUAACUACUGUUAUAUUCUGUUGCUUUCCCCCUAUAACCAUACUGAAUGAACAAACAUUGAGUAAGCCCAUAUUAAAAAAAAAACAACAGCUUUUAUAUUUUUGACUUUAGAUGGACUCCAUCAGAAAAUGGCUACAAUUGUAUAACAACCUUUGGAAAAUUUAAUGAGCUAAUUAUCUCAAAUCAAUUUUAAGGGUUCUUUACACAUGAUUUUUAGAAUUUUCUUAACAAUUUUUGGUCAUUUUGCCUGCCCCUAACACGAGGUAAGGCCCAUUUUAACAGAUGAAGUGAAAUACAUUUUAUAACCCCCCCACCUGCAUUAAAAAAAAAUGUGAUGGAAGCUGGGCAGUUAAUCCCAGGGCAUGUACCCCUAGAAGCCUCCCAAAAGAAAAAAAAAACGGGAGCAUCUCUCAUUUAUACUCUUCAGCUCACUACUUAACUUCCACCAGAAUGAUCUCUAGAUUUCUUGAUGAUGUUCUAAACCCCAAAAUGAGUUUUACUUUGUUUAAAAAUAUAUUCACCAAGGUUGAAAGAUUUCAAUGAUUGUAAAAAUUGUGACAAAUAUCCAUCAAUUCAUAGGCUUUAAAAAAAUGCCAUACAGCAACUUAAUGUGAAAUAUGAUAGUGUGUUUGUUUGCUAUUGUAAUUAAUUGGGCUAUUGAGAAUUUGGGGGAUACUGAUUCCUACAUAUUUGUACUACUGUUUUUUAAAAAUGAAAAAUGUUACCUUGUUCAAUUUAUUUGCUUGCACUCACAGUGGAUCAUGGCCAGAUAUGAAGAAGAAAUGGAUCUUAUUUUUGGACAAGAUAUACACAAAAGAGCCAUUGCACAGGGCCAAAGAUAAACCAAUCCAGGACCGAUUGAUGCACUUCCAAGCCAAUUCAAAGGUCUUGAACCUAGUGUGAAGACUCAGGGUUGCUGAUGUUUAACAUUUGUUACAACAUAGGCCUUCCUUGUGUCCACACUCACUCUGAAAAUACAGAUGAGUAUCCCCAAACCUUGGCUCCUACUUGGCUCCUAUAAUCUGGUCCCUUUUCUGUCUUUCAUAGAAUGGUACCUUUCUGUGGUCCUGGCUACUGACUGGGUAAUGCAUCAUUGCUUAGAUCAUUUUAACUGGGCCCUGAUUCAAGGACCUGUUAUAGAUUUAUUUUUCUUUUACUUGGAAUUUUACACAUAAGACUUUGAUAGUCUAUAUUUUCAUCCAGUAAUUUUCUUUUUUCUUUGGAUUUUUCUGAUGUCUUUUUAAUUCCUCUUGCCAAUAGAUUCAUAUACCUCAUAACUCAGCCAUGCAUCCUUAAGUGAUCCUGUGUUUUUCAAUCACCCUUUUAACGGGGAAAUGUAAAAAAAAUUAUUAUUUUAAAUUGCAAAGUUUAAAUUCCUUUUAAGAAGAAUUUUAGGUAAAGAAAGAUGCUACCUCUCCGAAUCCAGAAACUGAACUGUUUGGAGAAGACACCAUGAAGAAGCCUCCAGACCACAAGCUGCAUGAGAAGAUCAAAAAUGAACUUUGGGUGUUGUUGAGUGAACAUUUAUUUGUAUCUAUACUUUCAUGCCAAAGAGGGCUGCCCCCUAACUGGCUUUUUGUCAAUGCAUUCAGCAAUUAUUGUUUUUUUUCCCUCUUAUCCUCAAAUUAUUGUAAUCUUUAAGUUGAUUAUGUUUUCAUGAUCCUCUGGGAAAAACCUUUUUCCCUGAGGAUCAAACAGGAAUGUAAAAAUGGAGAUUUGAACUCUGGACUUCAAUUCCCAGGAGUCCUUGGUAGCUCCCAGAGUUCCCCAUAAUCUCAGGUGAGGUCAUCACCUGGGCUGCGAGGAGAGAGGGGUUUUUUAAAUGCACUCCGCCUUCUUCUUGCUCUCUUCCUACUUCCGCUUCCAAGCAGAUGUGUCUCUCAUGAUGUAAGUGAAAUUGAAUGGGCCUUUCGGCUCUCCUAGGCUCGUGCUUUCUUACUUGUAUUUUCUUAAAUUCUUAAUCUUUAAAUAACCUCAUAAAAUAUGCUACACAUGCCAUCUA